AGAAGUAAAGGAUUUUGUGGUUUGUUUGUUUUUUUCCUUGCCCUGUGAUUACUGGGUCCAAAUUUUAACCCUGUUGUUUUGGGUUAUUAUCUGUCCUGUCAGGUGGAGGAGGACACGUGUGUUGGUGAGUUAAGAGGGGCAACGUGAGCAGGAAUGAGGUAAAUCCAAUCAUUUUAGGCCUAUAAAUCGUAUAGGUCUGAAGAUCCCUUGGUUCUGUGAGAACAGUAAAAGGUCUCGGCUGAGUGGUUGCCAUGGUCUUAGCCCUCCCGGACACAGAAGGACAAUAAAGACUUAAUUCCAAGAAAUAGAAAGUCAAACUAGCAAAGCCACUGAAAGAAAACAACUCAGGCUAAUUUUCACAGAAUCUGUUAGUUAACUGCCUUUUAUGGCUCUUCCAAAUAUCACGGUCUAUGGGACAGAGAACCCUGAGGCAUUUUUUUUCCCAAUAGAGUUCAGACAUCAGAAACCUCUCCAAAGUGAGGACAAGCGUGAUCACGAAGCUCUCUCUUGCUGGUGUGGUGGGCGUGACUUUUAGAAGGGAGACACCAAAAUACUUCACCUGGAAAAUGUCAUAAUAUGAGGACUUAUAUUUAGACCUUAACUUUGCUAAUAAAUUUCUUUUCUGAUUUCUCCUGCCCUCUUUUCAACCUCAAAAGUCACAGGGGCGUAGAGCAAAAAUCACUGCACCAUAAUAUAAAGGAGGUAGCCCUGGGCACAGCACUGCUGCUUCUAAACUCUGGGUCCUUGGACAAGCCAUCUCUGCUCCCAGAGCCUCAGACCUCUACUUGCUUUCCUGCUACUUCAAACAGUGGUAGUGAGAGCCAAAUUCGAUGUAUGUGAAGACGUUUCGCCACUUAUGUGUGCCCUAUGUGGACACAAAGCAUGAUUAUUAAUAUAACACUGACCAACUAAAAGGGUCCAGACAUCAUUUUCUCAUUCAAAGGACUGAGGAGUAGAGAGUAAAAGAAAUCACAGUGCAUUUCUGAAUGCACUUUUGAAGUUGUGGGAGGCAAACUGAACUAAAAAGAGUAGACUCUGGGAACAGCCAGACAUGAAUCCAAACACUACCAUUUUGCAGAUCUCGUAUCUGCUCUGUGCUCUAUGAUGUUAUCUGUAAAGGGAAGAAUCUCUUUGCAAAAUGCCUGAUGAAGAGUAUGGACACAAUAAAUAACUUACACCUCUAAAGUUCUUCACAAAAAAAACAGAGAUAGAAGACACUCCUUAGCCAUAAGGGCCAAAGUUGUAAUAGGAGCACAUUUCAAGGUAAAUACUGAAUAUAAUUAUUUUAAAAUUAACAAAAUCUUUAUAAUUAACUGCAGCUAUGCACUAAUUCUUAGUCCAAAGAAUGUUGAGGAGUUGAUUUGUCAUGGAGAGGAGACACUUUCUUGAAUAAAACUGUAGGACAGCAAAUUGCAAUAUCAUUUUAAAUCACGUUACCCUUGUGUAACACCAUCAACCAUGGAUUGUAUUAACCAAAACAUUUUUUUAAAUACUCUUUUUUUGUUGUUUAAAGAUGUUGAUGGACCUUUAUUUUAUUCAUUUAUUUAUGUGUGGUGCCCAGAAUUGAACCCAGUGCCUUGCACAUGCUAGGCAUGUGGCUCUGCCACUGAGCCCCAGCCCCAGCCCUUUAUCAAAACAUUUUAAAAAAUUAAAAUCAAUGUUUUUAAUUAGUUUCCUUUGCUAUUUAACCAGCCUGUUUUGGAAGCAUUUGUGUGUCAUGAUCCUAACCCAUUUUUCUGUUUAAUGAUUAUUUUUCUGAUUCCUUAUCUAUUUAUUUUUCUUCAAUUUUUACUCAGUCUCUUGAUACAGGUCAGGAAAUUGAAGCAGUUCCACAAGAUAAAUUUUAUCCAAUUUCAUGAAAUUCUGCAUAUUUUGCAAGAAUCCAACUCUGCUAUCUAUAAGAUUGGUGUUUAAAAUAUCCUGCAGCUUGUAAAAGACAGACUGGAAAAACGUUGUCUUGGGCAGAGAUGAUCAUUCAAGCUAAGCAGGAAGGUUGUUUCAGAGAGGAAAAAUUGUGUGAGUAUUUGGUUCAUUGAUAAAUAGUUUCAAGUAAUGACAAACUUUUCCUCUCUGUAUAACCAUGGAAUAUAUUUCUUCAUGUUUAAUCAUGGCGUAAAGGAAUUUGGGUAAUAAAAACUGGAUAUGAAGGAAAUCUGAUAAUUCUACUUUUUCUUUUUAAAUAUUUUUUGGUUGUUGGUGGACAUUUAUUUUAUUUAUUUGUAUAAAUCGAACCCAGUGCCUCACACAUGCUUGGCAAGCACGUUACCACUGAGCCACACCCCCAAUCCCUAAUUCUACUUUUUCUAACAAAGAAUUUGUUUGUGAAUUUCUUGGCCCAGUUGUAGUGGAUUUAGUCUGAAUCUCAUUUACUCUCACCUAAAUGAGGAGCACUUGCUUGUAAUUCCCCAGUCCGAGUGAAGGGAUAUUUACUUUGCCUCUUAAGACCAGUUUCACUAAUAUGUUCCUCUGUCAAACACCAUUCUGUGCUGUUCUUCUUAUAAAUAUGCUGCAAAUAUAUGGAAAAUGUGAUAUUUUUAGUAGUUUAAUUUAGACAAAAUUGAAAAGUGAUGAUUCAUUAAAUCCAUUAUUUGUAUGGGUAAAGAGAAUAGUUUAUUUCUUGUCAUGGUACCUAAAUCAAAAGGUAAGAUUAAAAGACUGGGUGUCAUGGAUUGGAUGUGGUUUGUCCCCACAUGACUCAUGUGUUGGAGGCUCGGUCCCCAAGGUGGUGGUGUUGAGGGGUGCUGUGGACCUUAAGAGGUGUUGCCUAGUGGGAGAUCCAUAGGCCAUUGAGGGUGCUGCCCUCGGGAAGGGAUUACAAUAUUUCUCCUGAGAUGCCUGGCUUAGUUCUUGAGAGAGGGUUGUUAUAAAAGGAGCAAGCCUGGCUCCUUCUUUUCCCUCUGGCUUCCUGUUUUGUGAUAUGAACUUUUGCUCACUGUACACCCUGUCAUGAUGCCAUCUGCCAUUAGACCCUCACCAGAGACCAAACCAAAGAGGCCACCUUGUGUUGGACUUUCAGCCUUCAAAACUGUGAGCUGAAUAAAACCUUUCUCUUCUCUUCCCAUCCCCCACCCUCUCUCCAUACUAGGGAUUCCACCCAGGGCCUCAUGCAUGCCAUGCAAGUGUUUGUUCUACCACUGAGCUACAUCCCCAGCCCCUUAUGUAUGUAUGUAUGUAUGUAUGUAUGUAUGUAUGUAUGUAUUGAGACAGGGCCUCACUAAAUUGUUCAGGCUGGCCUGGAAAUUGCAAUCCUCUUGCCUUAGUCUCCUGAGUAGUUGGGAUCAUAGGCAUGCACCCCCACACAAGGCUAAAUCUCUUUUUAAAAAUAAAGUUAGCCUGCCUCAGGUAUGUUAUUAUAGUAAUGCAAAAGGACUAAUGCACUGGGAAAAGGUAUUUGCAAUAGAUAUAUCCAUUAAAAGACUUGUAUCCGGAUUUCAAUGUAAUUUUUUAAAAAUGAGCAAGACUUUAACAGGCACUUCACUAAAGAGGGUAUCCAAAUGACUAUUAGACAAAUGGAAAGGUGCUUGACAUCAUUAAUCAUCAAGGAAAUGCAAAUUCAAACUUCAAUGAGAUACCGUCAUACCUCUGCCAGAUGGCUAAAAUCAAAAGGACUGCUGAUAGCAUUUAUUGGUGUAAGUGUGGUACAACUAGAACUCUCAGAAAUUGCUGAUAAGACUACAAAUUGUAAAACCAGUUGGGAAAGCUGCUUGGUAGUAUUUAAAGAUAAAUAUAUGUAUAUUCUAUUACCCAGUAAUUCUUUUUUCCACAUUUCAAUUGGUGCAUUAUAGUUGUACAUGACAGGAUUUGUUGUUACACAUUUGUACAUGUACAAAUACAACAACAUAAUUUGGCUGAUGUCGUACCCCAGACAUCCCUGCUCCCUCCCCACCUUCUACCCCCUUGUUCCUCUACUGAUGUCCCUUUGAAUUUUAUGAGAUCCCUGCCUCUCUACUUUCUUUUCCUUUUAUCUCCCUAGCUUCCACAUAUGAAAGAAAACAUUCAACCCUUGACUUUCUGAGUCUGAUUAAUUUUGCUUAACAUAAUGGUUUCUAGUUCUGUUGGUUUUCCUGCACAUGACAUAAUUUCAUUUUUCUUUAUGGUUAAAUAAAACUCAGUUGUAUAUAUCUACCACAUUUUCUUUACCCAUUCAUCUAUUGAUGAAUGGCUGGUUUCAUAGUUUGGCUAUUUUGAAUUGUGUUGCUAUGAAUAUGUAUUACCUAGAAAUUCUACUCCUGAAUAUAUACCUAACAGAAAUAUAGUCAUUCCCCCUUAUCUACAGUUUUGUUUUCCAUCAUUUCAAUCACCCACAGCCAAUUGUGGUCUGAAAAUAUUAAUACAGUGUAAUGAAGAAUUAAGGUAUUUUGAGAGACAGAGAGCACAUAUUCACCUAACUUUAUUCCAGGAAAUUAUAAUAAAUAUUUUUUAUUUAUUAUUAUUAAUCUCUUAUUGUGGAUAAUUUAUAAAUUAAAUUUUAUCAUAGGUAUAUAUAUAAUAUAUAUAUAAACAGUAUGUAUAUAAACAUAUAUAGUAUGCAUAUAUGUAUACAUAUACUAUAAGGUUAUGAAUCUGUAACAUACUCUAGGUUUCAGUAUAUAUACAUACAUUGUAGGGUUCAGUACUGUUGGUGGCUUCAGGCAGCCAGUGGGGAAGGGGUGUCUCAGAUCACAUCCCCUGUAGAAAAUGAGGGGACUACUCAUUUUUGGUGGCCUAUGUCCACCAAAACAGGUAUGAGAAUGCCUGGGACUUUAUUAAUAAUAGCACAAAACUUGAAACAAUUCAGUAAAUAGAAUGGAUGAUAAACUUCAUGAUAGUCACACAAUUGAAUACUACAAAGAAGUGAAAAUGAACUACUGAGAUAUCUACCAAAGAAACCAGACAUCACAAUAUAUAAUGCAUGACCUGUGCAAUGUUCAAAAGCAGAGAAAACUUCAUCAACAGUGGUAGAGAGGAGACCACAGUUAUCCUAGGUGGGAGAGAUAUUGACUGUGAGGUGACACAUGUGGACCUUCUGUGGUGUUGAAGAUAUUCCAUGGCUGUACUCUCAAGCCCUGUGAACUUUGUAUGCAAAUUAUAUAUCAAUUAUAUGUUAUAUAAAUAUAUAAUAAAGUGGAAAAAGCUAGCAGUAAGUGAAAAUUCUGUUGCAGAAGAACCUUUAACUUUGAAUGUAAAUGUUUUUUGUUCUUAAUAAUGUAGCACAUUUAACUAGCUUAAAAAUACUAUGCUUUAAUAAAAAAAACUGGAAAAACAUUUAAUAAAUUGUUAAUAGUAGAAUUGUAGGAUGCUUUUAUUGCCAUCUUUAUGCUAUUCAAUAUUUUUUCAAUUAUCUAUGAAAUUCAUAAUCAGAAAAACAUGUAAAUAAUGUUUUAAGAUAUCUACUAAGAAUAACAUCUCAUUUAAAUGUUUUAUUAAGCAGUAUUGAUAUUAAACAUUUUUCCUUCUUGCACACUUUUUUAAUAAAAGAGAAUUUCUAGGUGUAGUGGCACGUCCUUGUGUACUCAGAGACUCAGAAGGCUGAGACAGGACCCCCUUGGCAACUUAGUGGGACCAUCUGUUAGGGUCUGUAAACAAGUCAGGAUGGCGCCUGGCAAAUGUUAGAGUCUGUAAACAAGUCAGGAUGGCUCCUGGUAUUUUGCCAGGGGGGAGUAGUUUGUGAGGUGGCGCCAGUGAGCCAUUAAGUGUGGAGCUUCCUUAUUGGUUGACUGCUGUAUCUAGUUUAUGUUAAUUAAGAUAAGCUGUGUGGAAUGUAUAAAUACCUCUGUUGUCCUACAAUAAACGACUCCCAAUCCUGCUGUAUCAAUCUGCACAAAUUGUUCGUCACCCCCCGGUUAUUCUGCUGCAGCCGGACUGCGGCAACCAUCAUCAACUUAGUGGGACCUUGUUUCAAAAUUUUUUAAAAAUUUGAAAAAUGGCUGGGAAUAUAGUGGUGAAGUGCCUCUGGGUUCAGUCCCCAGUACAAAAAGGGGGUGGGGGUGAGAAAUAAAUAAAAGUAUGUUUCUUUGGGCUAAUUCUAUUUUGAAUAAUAUACACUGAAAAAGUGUGUCUCUAUAUUUCUCGUAUUAAAACCAUUUGCAAGAUUGUAUUGUUCUUGCUUUAUUGGAAAGCACUUUACCUGGUGUUAAGCAUUGAGUGCAGGUCUCACUUCUCGAGUUCCCA
RNAcentral lists this long non-coding RNA (6150 nucleotides) under Marmota monax (woodchuck). Lineage: Eukaryota; Metazoa; Chordata; Mammalia; Rodentia; Sciuridae. The record is from RNAcentral.